AGAGGAAGUAAAAGUCGUAACAAGGUUUCCGUAGGUGAACCUGCGGAAGGAUCAUUACCUAGAGUUUGUAGACUUCGGUCUGCUACCUCUUACCCAUGUCUUUUGAGUACCUUCGUUUCCUCGGCGGGUCCGCCCGCCGAUUGGACAACAUUCAAACCCUUUGCAGUUGCAAUCAGCGUCUGAAAAAACAUAAUAGUUACAACUUUCAACAACGGAUCUCUUGGUUCUGGCAUCGAUGAAGAACGCAGCGAAAUGCGAUAAGUAGUGUGAAUUGCAGAAUUCAGUGAAUCAUCGAAUCUUUGAACGCACAUUGCGCCCCUUGGUAUUCCAUGGGGCAUGCCUGUUCGAGCGUCAUUUGUACCUUCAAGCUCUGCUUGGUGUUGGGUGUUUGUCUCGCCUCUGCGUGUAGACUCGCCUUAAAACAAUUGGCAGCCGGCGUAUUGAUUUCGGAGCGCAGUACAUCUCGCGCUUUGCACUCACAACGACGACGUCCAAAAGUACAUUUUUACACUCUUGACCUCGGAUCAGGUAGGGAUACCCGCUGAACUUAAGCAUAU
RNAcentral lists this ribosomal RNA (557 nucleotides) under Epicoccum nigrum. RNAcentral's name for it is "eukaryotic LSU rRNA". The stretch from base 201 to 354 matches the Rfam family "5.8S ribosomal RNA". The record is from RNAcentral. Lineage: Eukaryota; Fungi; Ascomycota; Dothideomycetes; Pleosporales; Didymellaceae.